RNAcentral lists this ribosomal RNA (497 nucleotides) under uncultured bacterium. RNAcentral's name for it is "partial 16S ribosomal RNA". It matches the Rfam family "Bacterial small subunit ribosomal RNA", at positions 28 to 507 of the family's 1533-position model. The record is from RNAcentral.
GAUGAACGCUGGCGGCGUGCCUAAUACAUGCAAGUCGAGCGAACGGACGAGAAGCUUGCUUCUCUGAUGUUAGCGGCGGACGGGUGAGUAACACGUGGAUCACCUACUUAUAAGACUGGGAUAACUUCGGGAAACCGUAGCUAAUACCGGAUAAUAUUUUGAACCGCAUGGUUCAAAAGUGAAAGACGGUCUUGCUGUCACUUAUAGAUGGAUCCGCGCUGCAUUAGCUAGUUGGUAAGGUAACGGCUUACCAAGGCAACGAUGCAUAGCCGACCUGAGAGGGUGAUCGGCCACACUGGAACUGAGACACGGUCCAGACUCCUACGGGAGGCAGCAGUAGGGAAUCUUCGGCAAUGGGCGAAAGCCUGACGGAGCAACGCCGCGUGAGUGAUGAAGGUCUUCGGAUCGUAAAACUCUGUUAUUAGGGAAGAACAUAUGUGUAAGUAACUGUGCACAUCUUGACGGUACCUAAUCAAAAAGCCACGGCUAACUACGUG